Molecule: long non-coding RNA, 1700 nt
Organism: Zeugodacus cucurbitae (melon fly)
Lineage: Eukaryota; Metazoa; Arthropoda; Insecta; Diptera; Tephritidae
Exons: 2
Source: RefSeq, a predicted model, not a curated record
UAUAAUUUUUACACAUUCUUAUUUGUUAUAUUAACGGCAAAAUCGCGUUUUGGACAAUCAGUAUUGGACCAAACAAAUUCUCUUUCGAGAGAUUGAGUCAUAAGUAAAAAAAGUUAGUCUUCAAAAUCGAAAUACAGUAUAACUAAAGGCUCGGCAAUUGUUACAGAGAACUAUUACAAUUAGAGUGAACUUAGUCUCCAACAAAACCAUGUGCCUAAAAAACCCUCUCCCCCCUUUAUGUGACCAAUCACCUGAUGCGCACGAGUUCAUCAUGCGUCACCGUUCAACGCUUGAGUGCAGAAAAAGCCGGGCGGCAAGUGCAAUAGUGUUUAAUACUACUAUGACCUAUUGCAUUGAUAAGAUUGCAAAAAUCAAUAAUUUCGCAAAUAAGAGAAAAUACAUUACUCUACAGUGUGACAAAAGUGAUGAAAAGCAGCAGAUGUUACAGAAUGCGUUGAGUAGUUUAGAAUAUUUCUAAUAUAAUGCAAAAAGCAAUUGAGGUUAGGUUGGGAAUUCAAGUUGUGGAGCGACAGAGCAUAGAAAUUAUUGUCUUUGCUAUUGUUAAUAAAAGAAAACGAGAAAAAAUAUACAUACAUAUAUAAAAACUUAAAUUUUCUGAAAAAGUCAUUAACUUUGAUUUGUAAUGACAAGGCGCAACGAGGCGACACUGUUGACCCAGCAUGGCUAGCGACCUAAAUAAAAUCAAGCAGCCACAACCCAAUAAUUACCACAUGUGCACAAAAGAAAACUACAAAGGAGGAGAGCGUAUAAUGGCUUGGUGUAAGUGGGUUUUUUGAUUUAAACACGCAUGCCAGUGUAAGAUCGCAAAAGAAAAUCAGAUAUUAUAACUGCAAAACUAUAAAAGUGUACAAGAAAGUUGAAGCAUAAGAAAAAUAUUGCGAAAAAAAUGACAAAGAAAACUCAUCAAUAGCAAAGUGACACACAAUAUUGACGUUUGACGAUUAAAGCUCAGCACGAGAUGUAUUAUCACAGACAACAACAAUCAAAGUUCAUUAACAUUCGACACUGAAACGAAUUGCAUGAUUUCUUUGGCACAACAACUACAAACAAGAUAAUAAUAACAUAAAAAAUGCGUAAAAGCCAUAAUUAAUAACGAAGAAGAAAGCAAAACAUGGAAUGUGCGAAAAAUGAGGCGCAGCGAAUUGUUACACAGACAAAUAGUAAAGUCGUUAAAACCAAUCUCGAAACAAAAUAUGUAUUAGUUUUGACACAGUAACAAUGAUCGGAAGAUGACAAAUGACAUGAUUUACACGCACAAACUUCAAAAAGCAAACAUAUGUAUGUUCGCUCAUAUUAUAACUCUCUGUCUUCGAUAUAUUGCAAAAGAGAAAUAGUGUUCCACUGAAUUCCAGUUGCUGCAACACAUGCGCCACAGGUGAACAGGUGAAGUUUGCAACAACGCAAGUCACAAUGACAGCUCUCACUAUUUAUAACCAUUUAUGUACACAUGUAUGGCGCAGCUGGCAGAAUGUAUUGACCGCCUUUAUUUAUAGGUAGUAUCUUGUACUUGUUUACCUUGUUUUUUCUCUCUACUACAAGGUAAUAUGUGUUUAAACUGUUCUUAUCGCAUCUAAACAUUUCUUUGGUUGCGUUGUGUUUUUUUCUUUGUUGACAUACAAAUAAAAAGUUGAAAGCUGAAGAAAACUUUCAUCAAAUGUUGGUUAACAUUUCUCUGUCAA